RNAcentral lists this transfer RNA (71 nucleotides) under Gemmatimonadaceae bacterium. It matches the Rfam family "tRNA". Rfam says of the family: Transfer RNA (tRNA) molecules are approximately 80 nucleotides in length. Their secondary structure includes four short double-helical elements and three loops (D, anti-codon, and T loops). Lineage: Bacteria; Pseudomonadati; Gemmatimonadota; Gemmatimonadia; Gemmatimonadales; Gemmatimonadaceae. The record is from Rfam by way of RNAcentral. RNAcentral also lists the same sequence under 2 other names.
UGCCCCUUCGUCCAAUGGCAGGACAGUGGCCUUUGGAGCCACGAAUCUUGGUUCGAAUCCAAGAGGGGCAA